CCUACGGGUGACAGCAGUGGGGAAUAUUGCGCAAUGGGCGCAAGCCUGAUGCAGCAACGCCGCGUGAGGGAAGAAGGCUUUCGGAUUGUAAACUUCUGUUAGCAGGGAAGAGGAAGGACCGGUCCCCCAGAGAAAACCACGGCUAAAUACGCGUCAGCAGCCGCGGGGAUACGUAGGUGGCAAACGUUUUUCGGGAAAACUGGGCGUAAAGGGGGAGUGGGCGGGAAAACAAGUCAUAUGUUAAAUAUAUAGGCUUAACCUGUGGAAUGCAUAUGAAACUGUUUAACUAGAGUACAGGAGAGGUAAGUGGAAUUCCUAGUGUAGCGGUGAAAUGCGUAGAUAUUAGGAAGAACACCAGUGGCGAAGGCGACUUACUGGACUGCAACUGACGCUGAGGCGCGAGAGCAUGGGGAGCAAACAGGAUUAGAUACCCCAGUAGUC
This 441-nucleotide ribosomal RNA is filed under the name uncultured bacterium. Its description in RNAcentral is "partial 16S ribosomal RNA". It matches the Rfam family "Bacterial small subunit ribosomal RNA", at positions 338 to 795 of the family's 1533-position model. The record is from RNAcentral.